AGGCAGCAGUGGGGAAGUAUUGCACAAUGGGGGAAACCCUGAUGCAGCCAUGCCGCCGUGUGUGAAGAAGGACCUUCGGGUUGUAAAGCACUUUCAGUAGGGAGGAAGGUAGUGUAGUUAACACCUGCAUUAUUUGACGUUACCUACAGAAGAAGCACCGGCUAACUCCGUCGCCAGCAGCCGCGGUAAUACGGAGGGUGCGAGCGUUAAUCGGAAUUACUGGGCGUAAAGCGCAUGCAGGCGGCCUGUUAAGUCAGAUGUGAAAGCCCGGGGCUUAACCUCGGAAUUGCAUUUGAAACUGGCAGGCUAGAGUCUUGUAGAGGGGGGUAGGAAUUUCAGGUGUAGCGGUGAAAUGCGUAGAGAUCUGAAGGAAUACCAGUGGCGAAGGCGGCCCCCUGGACAAAGACUGACGCUCAGAUGCGAAAGCGUGGGGAGCAAACAGGAUUAGAUACCCUGGUAG
Molecule: ribosomal RNA, 460 nt
Filed under: uncultured bacterium
Lineage: Bacteria
Description: bacterial SSU rRNA
Rfam family: Bacterial small subunit ribosomal RNA
Source: RNAcentral